AGUGAACGCUGGCGGUAGGCCUAACACAUGCAAGUCGAACGGCAGCACAGUAAGAGCUUGCUCUUACGGGUGGCGAGUGGCGGACGGGUGAGGAAUACAUCGGAAUCUACUUUUUCGUGGGGGAUAACGUAGGGAAACUUACGCUAAUACCGCAUACGACCUACGGGUGAAAGCAGGGGAUCUUCGGACCUUGCGCGAUUGAAUGAGCCGAUGUCGGAUUAGCUAGUUGGCGGGGUAAAGGCCCACCAAGGCGACGAUCCGUAGCUGGUCUGAGAGGAUGAUCAGCCACACUGGAACUGAGACACGGUCCAGACUCCUACGGGAGGCAGCAGUGGGGAAUAUUGGACAAUGAGCGCAAGCCUGAUCCAGCCAUACCGCGUGGGUGAAGAAGGCCUUCGGGUUGUAAAGCCCUUUUGUUGGGAAAGAAAAGCAGCAGGUUAAUACCCCGCUGUUCUGACGGUACCCAAAGAAUAAGUACCGGCUAACUUCGUG
Molecule: ribosomal RNA, 492 nt
Filed under: uncultured bacterium
Lineage: Bacteria
Description: partial 16S ribosomal RNA
Rfam family: Bacterial small subunit ribosomal RNA
Source: RNAcentral